This 238-nucleotide ribosomal RNA is filed under the name Arcoscalpellum truncatum. Its description in RNAcentral is "partial 12S ribosomal RNA". The record is from RNAcentral. Lineage: Eukaryota; Metazoa; Arthropoda; Thecostraca; Scalpellidae.
UACUUUUACUGGUAGUCGGCUUGUAUACCGUUGUUGUCAGCUAGUUUCUUUAGAAAUCUUGCUAUAAUAAUUGACUAUUGACUUCAAAUAAAGGUGCAGCGGAUGUAAGAGGUUGAGGUGGAUUACAAUUAGAGGAUUAAUCACGGAUUAGAGGAUGCAAAGCUUUAUGAAGGAGGAUUUAGAAGUAAGGACAGUGUAAUGUUGAUAGAGGCUCUUUUUUGUGUACACACCGCCCGUC